This 1534-nucleotide ribosomal RNA is filed under the name Bordetella pertussis. RNAcentral's name for it is "bacterial SSU rRNA". It matches the Rfam family "Bacterial small subunit ribosomal RNA". The record is from RNAcentral. Lineage: Bacteria; Pseudomonadati; Pseudomonadota; Betaproteobacteria; Burkholderiales; Alcaligenaceae.
AGAUUGAACUGAAGAGUUUGAUCCUGGCUCAGAUUGAACGCUGGCGGGAUGCUUUACACAUGCAAGUCGGACGGCAGCACGGGCUUCGGCCUGGUGGCGAGUGGCGAACGGGUGAGUAAUGUAUCGGAACGUGCCCAGUAGCGGGGGAUAACUACGCGAAAGCGUGGCUAAUACCGCAUACGCCCUACGGGGGAAAGCGGGGGACCUUCGGGCCUCGCACUAUUGGAGCGGCCGAUAUCGGAUUAGCUAGUUGGUGGGGUAACGGCCUACCAAGGCGACGAUCCGUAGCUGGUUUGAGAGGACGACCAGCCACACUGGGACUGAGACACGGCCCAGACUCCUACGGGAGGCAGCAGUGGGGAAUUUUGGACAAUGGGGGCAACCCUGAUCCAGCCAUCCCGCGUGUGCGAUGAAGGCCUUCGGGUUGUAAAGCACUUUUGGCAGGAAAGAAACGGCACGGGCUAAUAUCCUGUGCAACUGACGGUACCUGCAGAAUAAGCACCGGCUAACUACGUGCCAGCAGCCGCGGUAAUACGUAGGGUGCAAGCGUUAAUCGGAAUUACUGGGCGUAAAGCGUGCGCAGGCGGUUCGGAAAGAAAGAUGUGAAAUCCCAGGGCUUAACCUUGGAACUGCAUUUUAACUACCGGGCUAGAGUGUGUCAGAGGGAGGUGGAAUUCCGCGUGUAGCAGUGAAAUGCGUAGAUAUGCGGAGGAACACCGAUGGCGAAGGCAGCCUCCUGGGAUAACACUGACGCUCAUGCACGAAAGUGUGGGGAGCAAACAGGAUUAGAUACCCUGGUAGUCCACGCCCUAAACGAUGUCAACUAGCUGUUGGGGCCUUCGGGCCUUGGUAGCGCAGCUAACGCGUGAAGUUGACCGCCUGGGGAGUACGGUCGCAAGAUUAAAACUCAAAGGAAUUGACGGGGACCCGCACAAGCGGUGGAUGAUGUGGAUUAAUUCGAUGCAACGCGAAAAACCUUACCUACCCUUGACAUGUCUGGAAUCCCGAAGAGAUUUGGGAGUGCUCGCAAGAGAACCGGAACACAGGUGCUGCAUGGCUGUCGUCAGCUCGUGUCGUGAGAUGUUGGGUUAAGUCCCGCAACGAGCGCAACCCUUGUCAUUAGUUGCUACGAAAGGGCACUCUAAUGAGACUGCCGGUGACAAACCGGAGGAAGGUGGGGAUGACGUCAAGUCCUCAUGGCCCUUAUGGGUAGGGCUUCACACGUCAUACAAUGGUCGGGACAGAGGGUUGCCAACCCGCGAGGGGGAGCCAAUCCCAGAAACCCGGUCGUAGUCCGGAUCGCAGUCUGCAACUCGACUGCGUGAAGUCGGAAUCGCUAGUAAUCGCGGAUCAGCAUGUCGCGGUGAAUACGUUCCCGGGUCUUGUACACACCGCCCGUCACACCAUGGGAGUGGGUUUUACCAGAAGUAGUUAGCCUAACCGCAAGGGGGCGAUUACCACGGUAGGAUUCAUGACUGGGGUGAAGUCGUAACAAGGUAGCCGUAUCGGAAGGUGCGGCUGGAUCACCUCCUUU